GCCUCGAUGGUGUAACGGUCGAAACAUUUGCCUGGUAAACAAGAGGGCGUGGGUUCAAUCCUAGCCGAGGUA
RNAcentral lists this transfer RNA (72 nucleotides) under Diaphorina citri (Asian citrus psyllid). It matches the Rfam family "tRNA". Rfam says of the family: Transfer RNA (tRNA) molecules are approximately 80 nucleotides in length. Their secondary structure includes four short double-helical elements and three loops (D, anti-codon, and T loops). Lineage: Eukaryota; Metazoa; Arthropoda; Insecta; Hemiptera; Psyllidae. The record is from Rfam by way of RNAcentral.